This 344-nucleotide long non-coding RNA is filed under the name Pogona vitticeps (central bearded dragon). RNAcentral's name for it is "lncRNA (ENSPVIG00000008567.1)". Lineage: Eukaryota; Metazoa; Chordata; Lepidosauria; Squamata; Agamidae. The record is from RNAcentral.
ACAGUUCAUCAGAGGCUGCAAUGUAUUGAGCAAAGGAGUUGCCAGUAAAGGUCCUAAACCAGAGGUGGUGCUGGUGGUAGGAGAAGAGACUCUCCAUGAUCUCACACGCUGAACCCUCAGAGAGAUUCAUAGAAACUGGCGGGAUGUUUCUGUGAGGAUCUGCAAAACUCCUUUUCCCUCAGCAGAGAUCCGAAGAGGGGGCUGUUCCACACAGUUUUUCAAAGCAUAAAUGCCAUCACAAAUGGAAGCCUGGGUGACAUCCUUGUGAGCAGGCCAGAAGAGUGAAUGGAGAAGUCCUUUAAAAGAAAAUGUGAAGAAACAGGGGAGGCUUUGAAAUUUGCCCG